CCCAAAACACCUAAACCAACUCGACCCAUACCCAGCCAACCUCUAUUUUCCUUUCUCCAUUAACAACGACAGCAGUGGCAUCGAUAACAAAAAUUACAACAACAAAAACAGCCGAACAAAAACCAAUAAUGUCGACAACCCCAGCGUACAACGUCUCCCUCCCUAUCUGUGUACAAUACCCAACAGCCGCACCAUCCAAGCCUCUGUCCAAUUUAGAAAUAGUUAAGAAUGUUCCAAGACUAUAUACCUCAUGGAUCCUUCGACGUUUAGUUUCGGUAAAUUCAGUGAGGAAUUCAUCAAUUUUGUACUAUCACAGUACCUACCCGUCCAAUUUCUAUUGGUAGAUGAAGGAACUCAUUUUUUCCUUCCAAAAUCCCCCAAAAUUCAUGACGAAUUUGAUCCCCCUUUUUGGACCAAAUUCAUCAAUUUUAAACCAAUUCUAAGCCAUUUUAAAAUUCAAAACAAUACAAUCGUAUACCCCUCCCCCACCCCCCCUUCAAAAGAUCUUCUAUAAAUAAAUAGUGUUGGUUGAAGGUUCGAAAUUGGAUUGUUUGGAGAAAAAUUGGAGAUCCACGUCACCGAAGAGUUUAAGAAGAAAUACAUUUGAAAAACCAACUCCCACGAAAUGCUGAAAGUCCGACGAGUCGAAACUGAAAUCCUGAUGAAAACAAACAUAAAUUCUGGUGGAAUUUUAUUUGUUUAAAGCUCGUUGUCUCAAUUCCUGCUCCGAAAAAGAAUCAAGUGGUAAGAAGUCUUUAGGCUUCAAGUGCAAAAAAAAUUGAAUAAAGAACGAAAAGGGUAAGGAGAUCGAAAAAGGGCCCUCUGAGAAAAAGAACAAGCCAAAUUUCAAAAAGGGAAAACGAUUUUUAAGAAGAAAGACGAGAAAGAUGAAGUGCUACAAUUGUCAAGUUCUUGGGUAUUUUGCUCGUGAUUGUCAUGAGCAGAAAAAGACUUAGCAGCCACUGACAUAUGAAUCAUAAUCAAGGAAUGUUUGUGAAGUUUCGUUGAGUUUCACUUGGAUCAAGGUGGAUUUAUGUAGGAAAUAAUGUAAGACUUGAAGUCAAAGGGAUUGACACUUGCAAAGUAGACUUGCAUGGAGUCUAGUCUUUGAUGUUGGAUAACGUCCUAUAUGCUUUAGGAAUUCAACAAAACUUAGUAUCCGUGUCUGUUCUAUUAGACAUUGGCUUUAAUUUAUUUUUAGCCUCAAUGGUGUAAGAAUAACUAUAGAUAAUGCUUGUUAUGAUUUUCGACUUCGUUAUGAUCGCUUUAUUGUUUUAGAUUAUAAUCCUUUAAUUUAUGACAA
Molecule: long non-coding RNA, 1303 nt
Organism: Capsicum annuum
Lineage: Eukaryota; Viridiplantae; Streptophyta; Magnoliopsida; Solanales; Solanaceae
Exons: 3
Source: RefSeq, a predicted model, not a curated record